Molecule: microRNA precursor, 115 nt
Filed under: Brassica napus (rape)
Lineage: Eukaryota; Viridiplantae; Streptophyta; Magnoliopsida; Brassicales; Brassicaceae
Description: pre miRNA MIR167_1
Rfam family: MIR167 microRNA precursor family
Source: RNAcentral
ACAAGGGAAUAAGUGAAGCUGCCAGCAUGAUCUAUCUUUGGUUAAGAAAUGAAUGUGGAAACAUGUUGUUUAAACCCAGGCUAGGUCAUGUCUGACAGCUUCACUCCUUCCUGGU